Molecule: ribosomal RNA, 250 nt
Filed under: uncultured bacterium
Lineage: Bacteria
Description: partial 16S ribosomal RNA
Rfam family: Bacterial small subunit ribosomal RNA
Source: RNAcentral
UACGUAGGUGGCGAGCGUUAUCCGGAAUUACUGGGCGUAAAGCGCACGCAGGCGGCCAUUUAAGUCUGACGUGAAAGCUCCCGGCUUAACUGGGAGAGGUCGUUGGAGACUGGGUGGCUUGAGACAAUGAGAGGGGUGUAGAAUUCCUGGUGUAGUGGUGGAAUGCGUAGAUAUCAGGAGGAAUACCAGUGGCGAAAGCGGCACCCUGGCAUUGGUCUGACGCUCAUGUGCGAAAGCGUGGGGAGCGAAC